This 465-nucleotide ribosomal RNA is filed under the name uncultured bacterium. RNAcentral's name for it is "partial 16S ribosomal RNA". It matches the Rfam family "Bacterial small subunit ribosomal RNA", at positions 338 to 795 of the family's 1533-position model. The record is from RNAcentral.
CCUACGGGUGGCAGCAGUGGGGAAUAUUGCGCAAUGGGCGAAAGCCUGACGCAGCGACGCCGCGUGAGGGAUGAAGGUCUUCGGAUCGUAAACCUCUGUCAGCAGGGAAGAAAGGUCACUGUGGUAAUCAGCAGUGAAUUGACGGUACCUGCAAAGGAAGCACCGUCUAACGCCGUGCCAGCAGCCGCGGUAAUACGGAGGGUGCGAGCGUUAAUCGGAAUUACUGGGCGUAAAGCGCGCGUAGGCGGUAUGUCAAGUCAAGGGUGAAAUCCCCGCGCUCAACGUGGGAACUGCCUUGGAAACUGGCGAGCUGGAGUGUGUGAGAGGAUAGUGGAAUUCCUGGUGUAGGAGUGAAAUCCGUAGAUAUGAGGAGGAACACCAGUGGCGAAGGCGUCUUACUGGACCGGAACUGACGUUGAGGCUCGAAAGCGUGGGGAGCAAACAGGAUUAGAUACCCGUGUAGUC